CACAUCACGUUGAAAAACUGGUUCUCAUACGAUCACCGAAGUUAAGCAACGUCGAUCCUGGUCAGUACGUAGAUGGGUGACGCUUGUCAAUACCAGGUGCUGUA
This is a non-coding RNA of Acanthosepion pharaonis, 104 nucleotides long. Lineage: Eukaryota; Metazoa; Mollusca; Cephalopoda; Sepiida; Sepiidae. The record is from the annotation of a GenBank genome assembly.